GCCUGCAUUUUAACCAUAGCGUUGCCUCCUUCUGGAUUGGCCAAGUUCUGUAUUCAUGUACUCCUAUCCUUGGGCAUGCAGACUUCUGGGGCCUCCAGUUACUUCACAGACUCAUCUCUACCUCCUGGUUGCCCUGAAGAGUUAUGCAACUUUCAGGUGCACAUGUGCGUGCAGGGGUCUAUGUAGCUCAGAAGACGGCAUCCCCUGAAACCAGGGUUUCAGAUGGCUGUGAGCUGCUGCGUCGCUGCUGGGAAUCUUACCUGGGUCCUCUGCAGGAACCGUUAAGUGUGCUUAACCGCUGAGCUCUUAUCUGUGUUUGACUAAAAUUAAGUGCCUUGUUCAGAGCACACUUGGCAGUGCAAUGAUACAAGCAUAAACAUA
Molecule: non-coding RNA, 381 nt
Organism: Rattus norvegicus (Norway rat)
Lineage: Eukaryota; Metazoa; Chordata; Mammalia; Rodentia; Muridae
Source: RefSeq, a predicted model, not a curated record